GGAUUAAUUGACAAAAAUCC
RNAcentral lists this small nuclear RNA (20 nucleotides) under Arabidopsis thaliana (thale cress). Its description in RNAcentral is "snRNA_04158". Lineage: Eukaryota; Viridiplantae; Streptophyta; Magnoliopsida; Brassicales; Brassicaceae. The record is from RNAcentral.